This 1495-nucleotide telomerase RNA is filed under the name Claviceps purpurea 20.1. Its description in RNAcentral is "Ascomycota telomerase RNA". It matches the Rfam family "Ascomycota telomerase RNA", at positions 208 to 1858 of the family's 1858-position model. The record is from Rfam by way of RNAcentral. Lineage: Eukaryota; Fungi; Ascomycota; Sordariomycetes; Hypocreales; Clavicipitaceae.
CUUCGCCUCGCCUGCCUCUCAGUUUCCCGAAACUCGUUUUCCGAAAGGAAUGUCUAUUGCAGACCCCCCUCCCCAGACUCGUUAUACAUGACCUGCUGCGCCCGAACCUGUAUCAGGACUUCGUUGUUUGCAGCAUAUGGACCUGUCGUGCAUUGCGUUGUCGGUAACUAGACGAUACGGCCUGACCGGGGGGAAUGAGCGUCGGAACUUAACCCUAAGCUUACCACUGGUUCAAGUGUUGGGCCAUAUUGCUUUGCCUCAUCUUUUACACCUGAGAAUACGCCGAUGCUGUCCUCUCACUGAAAAGUGAGCUCGGACGCGUCGCGUGCUUCUCGAUAGGUAGACUGAUGAGGUAGGGAUAUCCAGUCAUCAUUUGGUGCGCGAGAGUCAGACGCCAUGGCUUCAAGUGGUGCUCACUUGGAUGAAAAGCUUCAAUCCGAAGCGUCGUCGGCCUGGCUACUGGAAUGACAAUGCUGGCCAGCAGGAGCGGCAGCUUCAAAGACGUUCUGUCAAUACCUUUGGGAACACUCAAAUCUGGGUAUCGGCCUGCUUCCCUCGCAUAGAGGUGGAUGAGGAUAGCGAGCAGAGCCAAGAAGAGGUCACACACAGUCAGCUGUUGCAUUUCACUCAACUUUCCUCAGAGCUCUAUCUCGUCGGAAUCACUGCAUAUCAUCUGCACGUGUAGCGAGGGGCUCAUGAGUCUCAAACAGAGAUGCUCGGCUGAUAGAGACAAAUCCUGCCGAUUCUUUUGUGCCCUCGGAUCUUGCGGUCCAAUCCAUGAAGGCACGUCGAUAUAUACCAAACCAGAUGUUUCCAAACCCGAUUUGCACUUUGAAGCCGUAGCUGGGGUAACUCCCGGUCUACGCGAUGCAUACAUUGAGCCGGGGCCAGGCCCAUUAACUCCUACUUGCGAUGUUCUUUCGCAACGACGGAGGCGCCAGACACACGUUAUUGGGCCACUUGGUCCUUUAACACAUGCCUCGCCAUUUCCUUCCAAAAGAAAGAUUGUCGAGAUGAAAGCGCGGUUUUUAUGGAUGUUUUUUGUCCGCGCGUCAACGCCCUCCUUUUUGAUCUUGCGCUGGCCGCAAAACCGGGAGAGGAAUCAAAAACAAGUCCUAGUGGGUAGCGAAGAACACACAGAAGAGGUUCUCAUCUUGCGAUCAGCGUUUGUGGCCUAUCGUGCCGACUGAGUCGAGGAAGGUGCAGCACGCCUUGUAAGGCGCAAAGCAACCGGAUUUUUGGAAAUCAAGCCUCUUUGACGCCUUUGCCGUGUAAGUUGUGCGUGUUGGCAUCAGUUCUGGGACCCAUCUCGAGUUGGUGUCAGAGUUUUGUACUCGUCCGGGGCUAGUGUCAAUCACACAUUGCGUCAAAGUGCGGAGAUGAGGUCUUGAAUGAGUCUUCUCAUUAUUGGCUUAAGAGGGCAGGCCGUUUGUAUAGGUAGCCCUGGUUGUCCUCGUGCCUGCAAAGGUGGGAGGACAGCCCCCCUUCGUUGCGG